AUGUCCAUAAAUUACAAAUAACUAUUAUGGAGUAGUGAGAGGGUUUGCAAUGGAAUUAAAAGGGCUGUGCACUCACGAUAUAAUUUUAUCAUCUCUUGCAAAUUAUGGCAUGUUUGUUUAUAGUAAUAAGGUAUUAUAGAGAUCACUGAGUCAUAGGUAGUUCACAUGGGAAGAUGCUAUAGUUUUCUAACCUUUUCCCAGUUGAUGUUACCAUUGGAAGCCAGAGUUAUAACAUAUCAGUGACAACACAGGGCCAUGCUCCUCCUCCUACUCCUAUGACUCCCUAAAUCCAUGUAACGGAGUCCCAUUGCCAGAUAUGCAAUUCUCAUGUAGAAUCAGUGCCCUGAAGUUUCAAACCCUCCACUGGUAUCUCUUUGGCUAUGGAACACCUCCUCAAACAAGCAAUAGCGUCAGAAAACCAGUCUGCUUUCCUUUGAUCAAGGUGUUGGUUUUGUCUGUGCUUGAGCUUUUCAGGCCUAAUUUUCCCUAUGGGACCAAUGGAUAACUCUGGAUGGCAGGUAAAUCACAGAAUGGAGAGAAAGGAGUGGAAGGCUUCAAUGAUGAUACUCUGUUUCCAUCAAUGACAGAUGGACCUGAUGUGGGGAUACAAGUUGGAUGGAUGAAGAAAGUCACUGCACAGGUGGAUAACAUAAUAAAGAUAAGGCCCGAAGAUCCAGACUGAUGAUAAGCCUAAAGCUGGUAGAGGACAAUCACCACUGGAUUCUACCACAGAAAGCUGUAAACACACCUGAAGAUUUUUACUAAAGUU
Long non-coding RNA from Rhinopithecus roxellana (golden snub-nosed monkey), 769 nucleotides. RefSeq lists it as uncharacterized. The record is from RefSeq and is a predicted model, not a curated record. NCBI's taxonomy places the organism in Eukaryota, Metazoa, Chordata, Mammalia, Primates, Cercopithecidae. The transcript is spliced from 3 exons.